RNAcentral lists this ribosomal RNA (246 nucleotides) under uncultured bacterium. Its description in RNAcentral is "partial 16S ribosomal RNA". It matches the Rfam family "Bacterial small subunit ribosomal RNA", at positions 15 to 236 of the family's 1533-position model. The record is from RNAcentral.
GAUCAGGCUCAGGACGAACGCUGGCGGCGUGCUUAACACAUGCAAGUCGAACGAAAAGACGGAAAGAGCUUGCUCUUUUCAGAAUUGAGUGGCAAACGGGUGAGUAACACGUAAACAACCUGCCUUCAGGAUGGGGACAACAGACGGAAACGACUGCUAAUACCGAAUAAGUUCCAAGAGCCGCAUGGCCCAUGGAAGAAAAGGUGGCCUCUACCUGUAAGCUAUCGCCUGAAGAGGGGUUUGCGU